AGUGAACGCUGGCGGUAGGCCUAACACAUGCAAGUCGAACGGCAGCACAGUAAGAGCUUGCUCUUACGGGUGGCGAGUGGCGGACGGGUGAGGAAUACAUCGGAAUCUACUUUUUCGUGGGGGAUAACGUAGGGAAACUUACGCUAAUACCGCAUACGACCUACGGGUGAAAGCAGGGGAUCUUCGGACCUUGCGCGAUUGAAUGAGCCGAUGUCGGAUUAGCUAGUUGGCGGGGUAAAGGCCCACCAAGGCGACGAUCCGUAGCUGGUCUGAGAGGAUGAUCAGAGACACUGGAACUGAGACACGGUCCAGACUCCUACGGGAGGAAGCAGUGGGGAAUAUUGGACAAUGGGCGCAAGCCUGAUCCAGCAAUACCGCGUGGGUGAAGAAGGCCUUCGGGUUGGAAAGCCCUGUUGUUGGGAAAGAAAAGAAGCAGGUUAAUACCCCGCUGUUCUGACGGUACCCAAAGAAUAAGCACCGGCUAACUUCGUG
Molecule: ribosomal RNA, 492 nt
Filed under: uncultured bacterium
Lineage: Bacteria
Description: partial 16S ribosomal RNA
Rfam family: Bacterial small subunit ribosomal RNA
Source: RNAcentral